RNAcentral lists this long non-coding RNA (697 nucleotides) under Lactuca sativa (garden lettuce). Its description in RNAcentral is "long non-coding RNA (LSAT_LNC005535)". The record is from RNAcentral. Lineage: Eukaryota; Viridiplantae; Streptophyta; Magnoliopsida; Asterales; Asteraceae.
UUCAUUCUACCACCUACUUUGGCCGCGACCACCGCAGAAAAACCCACCAUCUCACUUUCUCUUGAUCCAGAAAACAAAAAACAUGUAACUCACCAAAACAUGUGUAGGGUAAAAUCAUUUCUGUAGUUUUUUAGUUGAUUUGGUUAAUAGAUGAGUAUUGCGUUUUUGAUGGGUUUACUCCAAAGAAUUAAUGGUUUUAUUUGGAGGGAUGUGGUUUUGAUUAACAGUAUGUUGUUUUUGUAGGUUGAAGAGCAGAUGUUACUGUUAUCAUCAUAAUAUUACUUAUAACAUAUUUUUAUAUUGGACUGGUAUGGAUCUUGCUAUGUUGGGGAAAGGAGAGCUUAAAGACAGGGUGUUGAUUCACGUUUCUUGGGGUAUUCUAUCUAUUUUAUGUUUUCUGAGUCAGUUGUAUGGUUUUACCCAUAUUCCAUUUUCUGUCACAUAUUUGGUUGUUGGGGUAUAUGUGAUGGUGAAAGAAGGAUCAUUAGGUUUAUUUAUUGCUAUUACAGGGAGAUUAUAUACACGUUUUGUAUCUAUUGUGGCUUUAUGAUGAGUUAGGACGAUUUUGCCCCUGUUAUUCAUGUGGUUAAUUUUUGUCCCAAAAAUGUGUAUUGGUGUUACUGCAAGGAUAAGUAAAAUGCCAAGAGUAGUGUUACUUACUAUUAUAAGGUGUAUUUACAAUCUUAAUGGUAGGUGG